GGCGGACGGGUGAGUAACGCGUACGAACCUACCCCUUGGAGAGGGAUAGCCACUGGAAACGGUGAUUAAUACCUCGUAUGCUGAGGAGUGAAAGACCGUAAGGUCGCCAAGGGAUGGGCUUGCGUCUGAUUAGCUAGUUGGUGGGGUAAAGGCCUCCCAAGGCGAUGAUCAGUAGCUGGUCUGAGAGGACAAUCAGCCACACUGGGACUGAGACACGGCCCAGACUCCUACGGGAGGCAGCAGUGAGGAAUUUUCCGCAAUGGGCGAAAGCCUGACGGAGCAAUGCCGCGUGGAGGAGGAAGGCCUGUGGGUCGUAAACUCCUUUUCUCAGAGAAGAAGUUCUGACGGUAUCUGAGGAAUAAGCAUCGGCUAACUCUGUGCCAGCAGCCGCGGUAAUACAGGGGAUGCAAGCGUUAUCCGGAAUUAUUGGGCGUAAAGCGUCCUGAGGUGGCUUACCCAGUCGACUGUGAAAGCUCAAGGCUUAACCUUGAAACGGCAGUCGAAACUUGUAAGCUUGAGUACGGUAGGGGCAGAGGGAAUUCCCGGAGGAGAGGUGAAAUUCGUAGAUAUCGGGAGGAAGGCCAAAGGCGAAAGCACUCUGCUGGGCCGAUUACUGACACUGACAGACGAAAGCUAGGGGAGCGAAAGGGAUUAGAUACCCCUGUAGUCCUAGCCGUAAACGAUGGAUACUAAGUGUUGCGCGACUCAAAACGUGCAGUGCUGCAGCUAACGCGGUAAGUAUCCCGCCUGGGGAGUAUGCCCGCAAGGGUGAAACUCAAAGGAAUUGACGGGGGGCCAAGCAAG
This 804-nucleotide ribosomal RNA is filed under the name uncultured bacterium. RNAcentral describes it as "bacterial SSU rRNA". It matches the Rfam family "Bacterial small subunit ribosomal RNA", at positions 97 to 929 of the family's 1533-position model. The record is from RNAcentral.